RNAcentral lists this long non-coding RNA (279 nucleotides) under Phoenix dactylifera (date palm). Its description in RNAcentral is "long non-coding RNA (PDAC_LNC020437)". Lineage: Eukaryota; Viridiplantae; Streptophyta; Magnoliopsida; Arecales; Arecaceae. The record is from RNAcentral.
GGAGAUCUAUACUUUUUCCUUCAGCUGGCAGCGCAACCGGGAUCUCCUUCCUUUUCUUUUUCUUCUUCUUCUUCCUCUUCCUUUCUUCCUUUCCUUUCCUCUCCUUCUUUUUUUUCCUCUCUGUUGCCGUCUGAGAACCCCCCCUCUCUGUCUCUCGGUUUCAUUCCAAAGCCCCAGCAAACCCCCCAAUUAAAUCACAUCAAAAUACUAUUCACCCUUUGUUUAAUAUUAUUAAAUUCCCAUUUUGCCCCUAACACUUCAACAUAUCUACCGUUAUGC